CUGAGUGAGGGUGUUUCACGCCCGACCUCCAACCCUUUGUCUACUUAACCUUAUGUUGCUUCGGCAGGUCCGCCCGCGGUGCUCCAGCACCGUCGGCCGCCGGGGGUCUCACCACCCCGGGCCCGCGCCUGCCGAUGGCCCUCACCUAAUCUCGUGUCAAAACGUGACGUCUGAGCAAAACAUAUAAUCAACACA
This 195-nucleotide unclassified non-coding RNA is filed under the name uncultured Chaetothyriales. RNAcentral's name for it is "sequence contains ITS1". The record is from RNAcentral. Lineage: Eukaryota; Fungi; Ascomycota; Eurotiomycetes; Chaetothyriales.